Molecule: ribosomal RNA, 422 nt
Filed under: uncultured bacterium
Lineage: Bacteria
Description: partial 16S ribosomal RNA
Rfam family: Bacterial small subunit ribosomal RNA
Source: RNAcentral
AAUUUUGGACAAUGGGGGUACCCCUGAUCCAGCCAUCUCGCGUGUAUGAUGAAGGCCUUAGGGUUGUAAAGUACUUUUGGCAGAGAAGAAAAGGUAUCUCCUAAUACGAUCUACUGCUGACGGUAUCUGCAUAAUAAGCACCGGCUAACUACGUGCCAGCAGCCGCGGUAAUACGUAGGGUGCAAGCGUUAAGCGGAAUUACUGGGCGUAAAGCAUGUGUAGGAGGUUAGGAAAGAAAGAUGUGAAGUCCCAGGGCUCAACCUUGGAACUGCAUUUUUAACUGCCGAGCUAGAGUAUGUCAGAGGGGGGUAGAAUUCCACGUGUAGCAGUGAAAUGCGUAGAUAUGUGGAGGAAUACCGAUGGCGAAGGCAGCCCCCUGGGAUAAUACUGACGCUCAGACACGAAAGCGUGGGGAGCAAACA